Long non-coding RNA from Chlorocebus sabaeus (green monkey), 1336 nucleotides. RefSeq lists it as uncharacterized. The record is from RefSeq and is a predicted model, not a curated record. Lineage: Eukaryota; Metazoa; Chordata; Mammalia; Primates; Cercopithecidae.
GUGGUCGGCCAGAUCCACCGGAUCCGGCAGCCUGGAGACGCGCUAGGACCCGGAAGGCUAGUGGGCUGGCGGCGCGUCAGAUCCCUAGCUGAGCUGGGGGCCACUGGCCAGAGCCGACCCCAGGAGUGAGAGAGGCAGGGACACGCGUGAGUUCCGGCGACCUGCAGCGGGCAAACCCCGUACCUUCCCAGCAUCCGCUCAGCAACCCACGUGCAUCCAGGCUGGUUAAUGUCAGUGAGCCACCUCCGCGCCUUGGCCAUCCUGGGGUCCCGAGAAUCAGAAGUCCCAGACAAAUGCCCAAACUACAUUCCUGCCUGUUUGAAAGCGUAAAUUGCAAAGCACAAAUCCAGAGAUGGGGUCUUGCCAUGUUGCCCAGGCUGGUCUCAGACACCUGCCCUCAAGUCCUCAAGACAUCCUCCUACCUCAGCAUCCCAAAGUGCUGGGAUUACAGUCAUGAGCCACUGCACCCAGCUAUAUCCCUGUUUCUUGAGGAAGGAUAAAUUAGCCAUUCUUGAAUCAGGAAGACAUUGCUACCAGAGACCUCAACUGGAGGAUACUGAGGAACCCUCCAGAAGCAGAAAACUGCAGGAAGGGGACAACAUCCACUGAAGACCAUAGGAACAAGAUAAUGACUGCAUGAAGACAGCCCAAGACCUGAGGACCAUAGAAGAUAAGGAGCUGGAGCUACGUGUUUGUCACACUUCAAUCUGCAUGCAGCCUUGUCAUAAUUUUUCUAGAUAUUUUCUUUCAUCUUUUUUGGUUUAUGGUUUGCUUUGUUGACAGACAGCAUGUUACCUCAACUAGAGUAACUAUAAGCAAUGAUUUCUUAGAGCCAGAUAGAACCGGCUUAUGAGAAUCAAUUGUUAAAUUGUCAGGAAUCUUACCAGAUGGUUGUGAAACCACUGAUGGCUUGAAAUCAGUCUACAGGAACAUGCACACAAUGGAAAUCAGAAAACAGUUUUAUUUGUUCUUACAAUGUGUGUCUGGAAAAUGUUACUGCCAGUGUUCUAUGUUCCAAAGUGAUUUGAAGUAAUCAUUUCCCCUGUGUGAUUAGGUUUUAUAUUCAGGUCUGUUCGUUUGUUUAUUUUUGUGUUCAAUUGUUUCUGUUUGUGUUUAAUUUGAUUUUUUCCCAUUUGACUUAAUUUUGGUUUUUGAAUAUGUGAGUCAUUUACGUGAUUGAAAAAUAAAAACUGUAUAAAGAAAGAUACUCAGAGAGUUCUUGCUCUCACCCCUGUUCCCUAUUCCCAUCUCACCCAUCGUUCAGAAGUAGCCAUUUCCAUUUUCAACAAUUUCUUGUUUAUUAUUUCUUUGAAAAAAAUAAAUACAUAUGCAUAAA